GUGAACUCCGUGCGAGAAGGCGCGGUAAUGCGGAGGAUGCAAGCGUUAUCCUGAUUUAUUGGGUUUAAAGGGUCCGUAGGCGGGCUUGUAAGUCAGGGGUGAAAUCCGGCAGCUCAACUGUCGAACUGCCAUUGAUACUGCAAGUCUUGAGUAAAUUAGAAGUGGCUGGAAUAAGUAGUGUAGCGGUGAAAUGCAUAGAUAUUACUUAGAACACCAAUUGCGAAGGCAGGUCACUAUGUUUUAACUGACGCUGAUGGACGAAAGCGUGGGUAGCGAACAGGAUUAGAUACCCGAGUAGUC
This 300-nucleotide ribosomal RNA is filed under the name uncultured bacterium. RNAcentral describes it as "bacterial SSU rRNA". It matches the Rfam family "Bacterial small subunit ribosomal RNA", at positions 496 to 795 of the family's 1533-position model. The record is from RNAcentral.